AGUGAACGCUGGCGGUAGGCCUAACACAUGCCAGUCGAACGGCAGCACAGUAAGAGCUUGCUCUUACGGGUGGCGAGUGGCGGACGGGUGAGGAAUACAUCGGAAUCUACUUUUUCGUGGGGGAUAACGUAGGGAAACUUACGCUAAUACCGCAUACGACCUACGGGUGAAAGCAGGGGAUCUUCGGACCUUGCGCGAUUGAAUGAGCCGAUGUCGAUUAGCUGGUUGGGGGGGUAAAGGCCCACCAAGGCGACGAUCCGUAGGUGGUCUGAGAGGAUGAUCAGCCACACUGGAACUGAGACACGGUCCAGACUCCUACGGGAGGCAGCAGUGGGGAAUAUUGGACAAUGGGCGCAAGCCUGAUCCAGCCAUACCGCGUGGGUGAAGAAGGCCUUCGGGUUGUAAAGCCCUUUUGUUGGGAAAGAAAAGCAGCAGGUUAAUACCCCGCUGUUCUGACGGUACCCAAAGAAUAAGCACCGGCUAACUUCGUG
This 491-nucleotide ribosomal RNA is filed under the name uncultured bacterium. RNAcentral describes it as "partial 16S ribosomal RNA". It matches the Rfam family "Bacterial small subunit ribosomal RNA", at positions 29 to 507 of the family's 1533-position model. The record is from RNAcentral.